This 774-nucleotide ribosomal RNA is filed under the name uncultured Neocallimastigales. RNAcentral describes it as "partial large subunit ribosomal RNA". It matches the Rfam family "Eukaryotic large subunit ribosomal RNA", at positions 24 to 631 of the family's 3401-position model. Lineage: Eukaryota; Fungi; Neocallimastigomycota; Neocallimastigomycetes; Neocallimastigales. The record is from RNAcentral.
UAUGUGAUCGUCUCUCGCAUAUCAAUAAGCGGAGGAAAAGAAACUAACAAGGAUUCCCCUAGUAACGGCGAGUGAAGCGGGAAGAGCUCAAAUUUGAAAUCUUAAAGGGUUUCCCUUUACGAAUUGUAGUUUAAGGAAGUGUUUUCUGUUGAGGUUUUGGUAAAAGUUCUUUGGAAUAGGACAUCAUAGAGGGUGAGAAUCCCGUAUUUGACCUUUACUUUCAACUUUGUGAUACACUUUCAAAGAGUCGGAUUGUUUGGGAAUGCAGUCCAAAAUGGGUGGUAAAUUUCAUCUAAAGCUAAAUAUUGGCGAGAGACCGAUAGCGAACAAGUACCGUGAGGGAAAGAUGAAAAGAACUUUGAAAAGAGAGUUAAACAGUACGUGAAAUUGUCAAAAGGGAAGCGUUUGACACCAGUGUUGUUUUUCUGAAAAUCAAUUAAAGAACUGUUUAUGCUAAGUUGUUUAGACUUUAUCAGCUAACUGUUUAGUUUUGAGCUUUUCUUUAAUGCACUUUUCAGUUAACAAGUCAACAUCAAUUUCUUUUGCUGUAAAAAAGCUUGAGGAAGGUGGCUUGAGAUUCGUCUUAAGUGUUUAUAGCCUCUUGCCUAUGCAGUCGGAGAGAUUGAGGUCUGCAGCGUAGAUCCUUCGGGGCUAAAUGCAUUUGCGCUAAGUUAUAGCAUUUUAUAGACAACUUGUUGACUAUGAUUUGUCUUGUAGCUUACUCGCUUAUGUUAUUUUACCUACGCUUAGGAUGUUGAUCUACAGAGCGAGAGU